UACAGAGGUCUCAAGCGUUGUUCGGAUUCAUUGGGCGUAAAGAGCUCGUAGGCGGUUCGUCGCGUCGGCUGUGAAAUCCCGAGGCUCAACCUCGGGUCUGCAGUCGAUACGGGCGGACUGGAGUUCGGCAGGGGAGACUGGAAUUCCUGGUGUAGCGGUGAAAUGCGCAGAUAUCAGGAGGAACACCGGUGGCGAAGGCGGGAUCCUGGGCCAGUACUGACGCUGAGGAGCGAAAGCGUGGGGAGCAAACAGG
This 253-nucleotide ribosomal RNA is filed under the name uncultured bacterium. Its description in RNAcentral is "partial 16S ribosomal RNA". It matches the Rfam family "Bacterial small subunit ribosomal RNA", at positions 524 to 776 of the family's 1533-position model. The record is from RNAcentral.